ACUGUGACCUGCCAGCCCACCCACUUUGCCGUGAAUUCCAGCAACAAGCACAGGAACAGAACAGCAGCUCCCGCUGACGGGGCAUGCGUACCCCACUCCGGCUCCAGGUCCUGUGCACAGCACCAUUUACGCAUGUGGUAUGGAAUCCUUUCCGUGAUUCCUGCUUCACAAAUGACUCUGCGGCUCAGGGAGGGGGCCAGUCACGCUACACAACCAGAAAGUGGUAGAGCCGGGUUUGAACCAUGUCUGCAUGGCUCUGGUGCCAGGCUCAUCUCUUGACCCCUGGAUGGGCAGUGGAGCUGCCUCAGAUCCCCUAACUGCAGCCCUGAGACAACUUAGCUGGCCCAGGGAGAGCCUCCUUCAGUCAUCAGGUCUGGCGCAUGCCUGCUACAGUGCCCUCUAUGGGGCAUGCCUGGCAUAGCAUCCCCAUGCAGGGCUAUGCUUCUGCCAGAGCCCUAGACACUGCCCCAGCUGGGAAAUAUUUUGGUUUAAUUAUAGCUCCUAGUCCAGAGAAAGAAUUAUUGUUCUGGAUAUCAAUAAAAACAAAAGAGCUGCUAUCGUGCAACUCUCAAACACAACCCAGCUGUUCCUGGAAGCUCUUGAGGCUCCUGCCCCAAGGUCCACCCCCAACACUAUCUCAACCUCAUCAUGGUAUCUAAUCUGUGCAGCCAAGAAGCCCCUCAAGCAGCAGCUCUGAGGCCUGGGGCUACGUAGGGAAGAAGCGGGAGGUGAGCAACAAGGAGACAGUGUGUCCAUCCAGGAAGCAGCUGUAAGGUGAUGAUAAGGAAAGAUAUUUUAUUGAUUGAUUGAUUGAGAUAGAGUCUCGCUCUGUUGCCCAGGCUGGAGUGCAGUACCAUGAUCUUGGCUUAUUGCAACCUCCGCCUCCCAGGUUCAAGCGAUUCUCCUGCUUCAGCUUCCUGAUUAGCUGGGAUUACAGGCACUCGCCACCAUGCCCAGCUAAUUUUUGUAUUUCUUUAGUAGAGAUGGGGUCUCACCAUGUUGGCCAGGCUGGUCUUGAGCUCCUGACCUCAAGUGAUCUGCCCACCUUGGUCUCCCAAAGUGCUAGGAUUACAGGCAUGAGCCAACGCACCCGGCCUUAUUACUAAUAUUUUUUUUUUUAGAUAAAGUCUUCCUCUGUUGCCCAGGCUGGAGUACGGUGGCAUGAUCACAGCUCACCACAGCGUCAAUCUUCCAGGCUCAAGCCAUCCUCCUGCCUCAGCCUCCAAAGUAGCUGGGACUUCAGGCAUGCACCACCACGCCUGGCUAAUUUUUAAAUUUUUUUGUAGAGAUGGGGUUUUGCUGUGUUGCCUGGGCUGGUCUCAAACUCCUAGGCUCAAGUGAUCCUCCCACCUCCACCUCCCAAAGUGCUGGGAUUACAGGUGUGAGCCACUGUGCCAGGCCAAAAAGAUAUUUUUAAAGUGAAGUUGAAAUGAUGUGGCUGCAGGGGAAAGUUCCACCAUUUUUUAACAAGCUGUUUCAUUCCUAAGUUCGUCUUUAAAAAUUUUUUUUUUUGGUAGAGAUGGAGUUUUACUAUGUCACCCAGGCUGGUCUCAAACUCUUGGCCUCAAACAAUCUUUCUGCCUUGGCCUUCCAAAGUGCUUUGAUUACAGGCAUGAGCCACCGCACCCAUUUGGCCCUAAUGCAAUAUUUUGACCAACCAAAAAUCAGUUCAUCUUGACUGUGAGGGCCCAAAAGGGCAGGGAAGACGAGGUGGGAAAAGAGAAAGCAGGGGUUAUGGGACAAGAGCUACUACUUGGCUGUUA
Molecule: long non-coding RNA, 1763 nt
Filed under: Homo sapiens (human)
Lineage: Eukaryota; Metazoa; Chordata; Mammalia; Primates; Hominidae
Description: HSALNT0055101
Source: RNAcentral